GACGAACGCUGGCGGCGUGCUUAACACAUGCAAGUCGAACGGAAAGGCCCUGCUUUUGUGGGGUGCUCGAGUGGCGAACGGGUGAGUAACACGUGAGUAACCUGCCCUUGACUUUGGGAUAACUUCAGGAAACUGGGGCUAAUACCGGAUAGGAGCUCCUGCUUCAUUGUGGGGGUUGGAAAGUUUCGGCGGUUGGGGAUGGACUCGCGGCUUAUCAGCUUGUUGGUGGGGUAGUGGCUUACCAAGGCUUUGACGGGCAGCCGGCCUGAGAGGGUGACCGGCCACAUUGGGACUGAGAUACGGCCCAGACUCCUACGGGAGGCAGCAGUGGGGAAUAUUGCACAAUGGGCGGAAGCCUGAUGCAGCAACGCCGCGUGCGGGAUGACGGCCUUCGGGUUGUAAACCGCUUUCGCCUGUGACGAAGCGUGAGUGACGGUAAUGGGUAAAGAAGCACCGGCUAACUACGUG
This 468-nucleotide ribosomal RNA is filed under the name uncultured bacterium. Its description in RNAcentral is "partial 16S ribosomal RNA". It matches the Rfam family "Bacterial small subunit ribosomal RNA", at positions 28 to 507 of the family's 1533-position model. The record is from RNAcentral.